AAGUCGUAACAAGGUUUCCGUAGGUGAACCUGCGGAAGGAUCAUUAAAGGUUUCCGUCGGCUCUUUUUUUAUUAGAGACCGGCGGCCAAAGAUCAACCACUGUGCGCAUAUAUUGAAAAUAUUUUUUGCUUUCGGUAGGUUUCCUUCAAAAUUUUAUUUUUGGAGGAGCCUGCCGAGAGUAUACCCCCCAAAACCAUCCUUAUUUUUUGACUGAAAAUUUUUAUUAAAUAAAAUUUAAUACAACUUUCAACAACGGAUCUCUUGGCUCUC
This 270-nucleotide unclassified non-coding RNA is filed under the name fungal sp. RNAcentral describes it as "partial contains small subunit ribosomal RNA, internal transcribed spacer 1, and 5.8S ribosomal RNA". The stretch from base 1 to 46 matches the Rfam family "Eukaryotic small subunit ribosomal RNA", at positions 1786 to 1831 of the family's 1831-position model. The record is from RNAcentral. Lineage: Eukaryota; Fungi.